GACGAACGCUGGCGGCGUGCUUAACACAUGCAAGUCGAACGGUGAACCAGGGCUUGCCCUGGGGAUCAGUGGCGAACGGGUGAGUAACACGUGGGCAACCUGCCCCUGACUCUGGGAUAACUCCUCGAAAGAGGUGCUAAUACCGGAUACGACCACUUCGGGCAUCCGAUGGUGGUGGAAAGAAUUUUGGUCAGGGAUGGGCCCGCGGCCUAUCAGCUUGUUGGUGGGGUAACGGCCCACCAAGGCGACGACGGGUAGCCGGCCUGAGAGGGCGACCGGCCACACUGGGACUGAGACACGGCCCAGACUCCUACGGGAGGCAGCAGUGGGGAAUAUUGCGCAAUGGGCGAAAGCCUGACGCAGCGACGCCGCGUGAGGGACGACGGCCUUCGGGUUGUAAACCGUCUUUCAGCAGGACGAAGCGAAAGUGACGGUACCUGCAGAAGAAGCACCGGCUAACUACGUGCCAGCAGCCGCGGUAAU
This 483-nucleotide ribosomal RNA is filed under the name uncultured bacterium. Its description in RNAcentral is "bacterial SSU rRNA". It matches the Rfam family "Bacterial small subunit ribosomal RNA", at positions 28 to 524 of the family's 1533-position model. The record is from RNAcentral.